GCCUAUGGCCAUACAACGCUGAAUGUGCCUAUCUCAGAAGCUAGGCAGGGACAGGCCUGGUUAGUUGGAUGGGAGAACAUUAGAGGCUGGGGGCCAGCA
RNAcentral lists this ribosomal RNA (99 nucleotides) under Jaculus jaculus (lesser Egyptian jerboa). Lineage: Eukaryota; Metazoa; Chordata; Mammalia; Rodentia; Dipodidae. The record is from RNAcentral.